This is a non-coding RNA of Leptonychotes weddellii (Weddell seal), 256 nucleotides long. The record is from RefSeq and is a predicted model, not a curated record. Lineage: Eukaryota; Metazoa; Chordata; Mammalia; Carnivora; Phocidae.
AGGACCAACUGUAUUUUUCAUCUACGAGAGCACACUUGAUUAAACAUCCUUGCAAGAAAAACAUAGCCCUGUAUCUAGGGUAUAGAACACCCUGUUUCACAUGUUUCUGGUGACAACUGUUGUUAUAGCAGACAUCCCUUUUGCGUGGAUAUAAGUAAUUCAGUUUUUGCUUAUUUGCAUGGAGAUCAGAUAUCUCAGACCAAUGUCUAUUUCUCAAACACCCGGGGAUACAGAUUUCAGAAGUUUGCCUAUGAAA